UACAGUGUACUCCAGCCUAGAUGACAGAGAAAGAUCCCAUCUCCAAAUUUUUAUUAAAACAAUUAAAAACUCCUAAUUUUUAUUGUUUUUUUUCCUAGUUCUUUGUGACUGAGAGGCAUUCUUCUUGGUGACCAACUCGUGUCUGUUAAUUUGUUCAUU
Long non-coding RNA from Sapajus apella (tufted capuchin), 159 nucleotides. RefSeq lists it as uncharacterized. The record is from RefSeq and is a predicted model, not a curated record. The transcript has 3 exons. NCBI's taxonomy places the organism in Eukaryota, Metazoa, Chordata, Mammalia, Primates, Cebidae.